UGCUGCAGCUCACGUUGCCAACAAGGCUGGUUGCAGCUGUACAGGUGACUGAGGGAGUCAACUUCAGGACUGAGCUGUGUUGUGAGGCAGUGACAGAGCAUGACUUCAGACACAGAAGAGAACUGCCUGGAGCUGGGGAGAGAGUAUUUAGUAAAGAAAGGGUUUGCUCCUGCCUCCCUUUCAGCCAUCUCAGCAACUUAAAGAGGAGGGCAACAUACUUUAAGAGUGCAUGCUGUGUCUUUGCAGUCCACCACUGACGUAGGUGGAUGUGUGAGUAAGACUCAUUUUGUUGUUAAUUUAUCUUCUUGAUGCUCAAUAUCAGACUCCAUUUGCAUUGACUAAAUAACUGUGGAGUCGUUAUGAAGGCUAUACGAACUACAUUACUACCCUUGGAAGUGAUUACUGCUGAAUUUUUGCCUCUUAAGCCUCCAAACAGGAUAUUGCAUUAUUAUAUGCAAUUCUCUUCCCUGAUGUAGUCUGAGUAUUGGCCAAACCAUCAGUGUACCACUGUGAUUCAUGCAGAACACUGAUCUCUAUGGAGCCGAAGUAAGUAUACAUAAGACUGUAAAUGAUUUUCAUUGCUAUGCCCCCCCUUUUUUUUUAACAUGGAGCUCUCACUCUUGAUGAAAUACUAUUAGAUGCAAUGUAGCAGCCAGAUUGCCAGAUGCUACUAAAUCAUCAGAUCAUGGCUGGUGUCCUUACUCGCCUGUCUUUUCUGUGUAGAGAUUACAGGUUUGCCUGUUGGAGACUCGUGGACAUUGGAAUUCUUUUAAACAUGAUUGGUUUCCAACAGACACAUAUGGCUCUCAGACACAUGGAUAUCAGUCCAUAUGUGUGAUAGGUAGAACUACAGAACGAGUGUCGCGGAUGUUCAUCCCUGAAGUUGAAUUUUCAGAGCUGGAGGAAUAGUUCGAAGCUGAAGUUGGUCUUCCAACCUGGUUAUGAGAAUUACAGAGUAUAAACCAUGCCUUACAUGCGUCAUUUGCUUUGGAAAAUAAAAACCUGUUUUGAAAGUAUUCGAAUAUGCAGAAAUGAGGAGUGUGGUACAUGCCAGUCAGUGAGGGCUUCCUCUUAGUUGCCGUGUUUAUUGGCCUGAGCCUGGUGCAAGGCACAGCAGCCAUUUGAAUAAGACACGCACAAGCCAGCUGGUAGCAUUGGGUGUGUUGGGCUAGUGAGCAGCAGAUUUCUUUCUUACUUAGAUCAUGUUCUUAUCUUUUGCUUGUCCAUGUUUAUAUUGGAGUAGCGCUCAGAGGCCCCAGAACUGAAGAAAAUAACCACACUGCAGACAUUUAUGAAGUUGUUAUGACUGCUAACGCUUCUUCCUGCUCCACUGCUACAAACUCUGCCAUAGUGCAGCAAAGAACUGAAUGGCUUCCGAAAAAAGUGUGUGAGGAAACGUGAGGAAGUGGCUGGAAGGAAUGGAGAGAG
Molecule: long non-coding RNA, 1428 nt
Organism: Manacus vitellinus (golden-collared manakin)
Lineage: Eukaryota; Metazoa; Chordata; Aves; Passeriformes; Pipridae
Exons: 3
Source: RefSeq, a predicted model, not a curated record